Long non-coding RNA from Cottoperca gobio, 225 nucleotides. RefSeq lists it as uncharacterized. NCBI's taxonomy places the organism in Eukaryota, Metazoa, Chordata, Actinopteri, Perciformes, Bovichtidae. The transcript is spliced from 3 exons. The record is from RefSeq and is a predicted model, not a curated record.
UUUUUCUCCACGAGCUAGCAUUACUAAUACUAAUGUGGAAUAAAUUACAAAAGUGUUAAUCAACAUUGAUUUGUUCCAAUGAUGGGAAACUGCUAGAAGUACCGUCGAAGCAGCAAAUGAACACCUGGAGCACCUGCUGCUGUUUCCUCCACACACUGUAUACAACAGUGCAGCACUGAUGGAUGCACAACAAGUUUAAGGACCAUGGGCUAUGUUCGUGAAGGU